This 569-nucleotide ribosomal RNA is filed under the name uncultured bacterium. RNAcentral describes it as "bacterial SSU rRNA". It matches the Rfam family "Bacterial small subunit ribosomal RNA", at positions 338 to 873 of the family's 1533-position model. The record is from RNAcentral.
CCUACGGGAGGCAGCAGUGGGGAAUAUUGGACAAUGGGCGCAAGCCUGAUCCAGCAAUUCCGCGUGGGUGAAGAAGGUCUUCGGAUUGUAAAGCCCUUUCGUUGGGGACGAUGAUGACGGUACCCAAAGAAGAAGCCCCGGCUAACUUCGUGCCAGCAGCCGCGGUAAUACGAAGGGGGCUAGCGUUGCUCGGAAUGACUGGGCGUAAAGGGCGCGUAGGCGGCACAACUCGUCAGGCGUGAAAUUCCUGGGCUUAACCUGGGGGCUGCGUUUGAUACGGUUGGGCUAGAGGAUGGAAGAGGCUCGUGGAAUUCCCAGUGUAGAGGUGAAAUUCGUAGAUAUUGGGAAGAACACCGGUGGCGAAGGCGGCGAGCUGGUCCAUUACUGACGCUGAGGCGCGAAAGCGUGGGGAGCAAACAGGAUUAGAUACCCUGGUAGUCCACGCUGUAAACGAUGUGCGCUGGAUGUUGGGUAACUUAGUUACUCAGUGUCGUAGCUAACGCGAUAAGCGCACCGCCGUGGGAGGUACGGCCGCGAAGGUUAGUAAACGUUAAAGGUAAGUUAGACGG